This 72-nucleotide transfer RNA is filed under the name Bos taurus (domestic cattle). It matches the Rfam family "tRNA". From Rfam's summary of the family: Transfer RNA (tRNA) molecules are approximately 80 nucleotides in length. Their secondary structure includes four short double-helical elements and three loops (D, anti-codon, and T loops). RNAcentral also lists the same sequence under 2 other names. The record is from Rfam by way of RNAcentral. Lineage: Eukaryota; Metazoa; Chordata; Mammalia; Artiodactyla; Bovidae.
UCCCUGGUGGCUCAGAUGGUAAAGCAUCUGCCUGUGAUGCAGGAGACUCGGGUUCAAUCCCUGGGUUGGGAA